UUUGAAGCAAUGAUGGAGAUAAGUAUUUUAUGUAGCAUUUUAAGAGAGUCGAUGUUAGGUGAGAAUCGAUAUUGCCUUAAAGUACACUCACUCCUAAGCAGUAUCUUCGAAAGGAUAUUUUCUUAGUAGCUGAUACCGACUAGCCUCGAUAAAGGCUUUUUAUAAUACUGUUAAAGAGGUAAUUAUGAUGUUUUAUACAUAAUUACAAUUAAGGUGGUACCGCGGGUUAUACUCGUCCUUUGC
This 243-nucleotide non-coding RNA is filed under the name Gottschalkia purinilytica. RNAcentral's name for it is "Clostridium purinilyticum T-box sequence". It matches the Rfam family "T-box leader". From Rfam's summary of the family: Uncharged tRNA acts as the effector for transcription antitermination of genes in the T-box leader family. T-boxes are found upstream of many aminoacyl-tRNA synthetase genes and some amino acid biosynthetic genes usually in Gram-positive bacteria. Lineage: Bacteria; Bacillati; Bacillota; Tissierellia; Tissierellales; Gottschalkiaceae. The record is from RNAcentral.